AUACGGAGGAUCCGAGCGUUAUCCGGAUUUAUUGGGUUUAAAGGGAGCGUAGGUGGAUUGUUAAGUCAGUUGUGAAAGUUUGCGGCUCAGCCGUAAAAUUGCAGUUGAAACUGGCAGUCUUGAGUACAGUAGAGGUGGGCGGAAUUCGUGGUGUAGCGGUGAAAUGCUUAGAUAUCACGAAGAACUCCGAUUGCGAAGGCAGCUCACUAGACUGUUACUGACACUGAUGCUCGAAAGUGUGGGUAUCAAACAGGAUUAGAUACCCUGGUAGUCCACACAGUAAACGAUGAAUACUCGCUGUUUGCGAUAUACAGUAAGCGGCCAAGCGAAAGCAUUAAGUAUUCCACCUGGGGAGUACGCCGGCAACGGUGAAACUCAAAGGAAUUGACGGGG
RNAcentral lists this ribosomal RNA (393 nucleotides) under uncultured bacterium. RNAcentral describes it as "partial 16S ribosomal RNA". It matches the Rfam family "Bacterial small subunit ribosomal RNA", at positions 523 to 918 of the family's 1533-position model. The record is from RNAcentral.